Molecule: ribosomal RNA, 253 nt
Filed under: uncultured bacterium
Lineage: Bacteria
Description: partial 16S ribosomal RNA
Rfam family: Bacterial small subunit ribosomal RNA
Source: RNAcentral
UACAGAGGGUGCGAGCGUUAAUCGGAAUUACUGGGCUUAAAGAGUUCGUAGGCGGCAUGAAAAGUAGGGUGUGAAAGCCCUCGGCUCAACCGAGGAAUUGCGCUCUAAACUGUCGUGCUCGAGGAAUCUAGAGGUGAGCGGAACUGAUGGUGGAGCGGUGAAAUGCGUUGAUAUCAUCAGGAACACCGGAGGCGAAGGCGGCUCACUGGGGAUUUUCUGACGCUGAGGAACGAAAGCCAGGGGAGCGAACGGG